Sander lucioperca (pikeperch) is the source of this 130-nucleotide long non-coding RNA. RefSeq lists it as uncharacterized. The record is from RefSeq and is a predicted model, not a curated record. The transcript has 3 exons. Lineage: Eukaryota; Metazoa; Chordata; Actinopteri; Perciformes; Percidae.
GACACUCGUAUGUCCCGUUGUCGAUGCUGCUCACAUUCUUCAGAGUUAAAGACACGUCUCCGUCCUUCAGAUCUCUGUCCACCAGCUUCACCCUGUCCUUAAAGGAUGGAUGCUGGUCUGGUGUCUUCAG